RNAcentral lists this ribosomal RNA (253 nucleotides) under uncultured bacterium. Its description in RNAcentral is "partial 16S ribosomal RNA". It matches the Rfam family "Bacterial small subunit ribosomal RNA", at positions 524 to 776 of the family's 1533-position model. The record is from RNAcentral.
UACGAAGGGGGCUAGCGUUGUUCGGAAUUACUGGGCGUAAAGCGCGCGCAGGCGGCUAUCCAAGUCAGUGGUGAAAGCCCGGAGCUCAACUCCGGAACUGCCAUUGAAACUGUUUAGCUUGAGGACGAGAGAGGUGAGUGGAAUUCCCAGUGUAGAGGUGAAAUUCGUAGAUAUUGGGAAGAACACCGGUGGCGAAGGCGACUCACUGGCCCGUUACUGACGCUGAGGCGCGAAAGCGUGGGGAGCAAACAGG